This 716-nucleotide long non-coding RNA is filed under the name Sus scrofa (pig). Its description in RNAcentral is "lncRNA (ENSSSCG00015038652.1)". The record is from RNAcentral. Lineage: Eukaryota; Metazoa; Chordata; Mammalia; Artiodactyla; Suidae.
GGACUUAACAAGCAGCUGGAACUUGUUCUCACUGGCGCUAACAGAAAAACAGCUUUAUAAACCAUUGCUGUAUGCUGUUGAACAAAGAUGCCCGAUUCAUGCUUUAAAAGGAGGCUCCUGGAAGAACAGCCUGAAGACACUGUCUCAGAUCAAAAGCAGCCUCAAAAGGACAUCUUUUUCAAAUUCAAUUACUGACUCUGGGGACUUACAUGGAGGAGUUAUGGUUAUGAAGAAGAAAAGAUCAACCACUUGGAUCUGAAGAUGUUUACAGCAUUAAGAUAGAUGGAUUAUACAAGGUCGGAUCCUAAUAUUUUCUCUUCUGAUGAGACAAUUUAAAAAGAUAAGUGCCGAUUUUUGCUUUCAGAGUCAUCAGCUCUGUAUUUUUCCCCUUGUCUCCUGACAUUCUCUUGGAUUUGUGGUGUUAAUUACAUUCCACUAACCUUGGCUUCUAGAAUGCCAAGACUCUUAGCUGCUAAGAUCCACAAAUAACAUCAAUUAGAUAAAUGGGGCGUUUCCACUCUCUCAUGCAACCCUGUUGGAUCUGCAAGUGCAGCGCUAAUAACUCCUAGGAUUCUGCUGCAUGGUCCUGACUUCAAAUAUUUUGAGAAUGAAUGUAAAUUAGAGUAUUUUGACUUUUAGUUUGAAUAAUAUAAUCACUAUACAUAUAUGAAAUAUUAAAACUUUGAAAUAAAAAUUGUUCUCAUUUUGAAACUCCA